CAAAAAAGUCGUUGUGAGUUUGUAACCGAAGCGUAAAAGCAGAAACAUAAAGACUAGAGAGAGAGAACAUUCAUAUCCCCAAAUUACCCUUACAGUUUCAAUACUAUGAAUCAAAACUACACAAGCUCCUUUUUCAUUUUCAUGGCCGAGAGAUUCACUUGUUGCACUUGAAGCCAUCCAACCCAUUCCAUUUUUGUUUCAUUCUAUUCCGCUUCAUUCCAUUCCGCUCAGAGAGACAUACAUACACACACUUUCACUUUUCUUAUUUUCUCGAAAAUCUUUCGAGAAAAUAAAAAUAAAAAAACUGAAAAAAAUAUGUCAGACUUUUGUCUAAAAAAUGGUCACUCCUUCGCGCUGCGAAGGAGGCUUCACAGCCGCGUAUCGUUGCUCCGGAGAUGUAUUCUUCGAGCUCUGCACCGACUGCUUGUCUGCUCAGGUAAGCAGCCCGGUGCUAAUGCUACAUACAGCAUGUUAACUCCGCAUUCAGCAUUGCCAUCUCCGCGGGCUUCGUUGUUGGAUUCCACCGUCGAAACUGCUAUCCAACCACCUGUUUUUAACACAAAUGAAUUGGAUACUGAUUUGGUUUCACUCAAAAUUAGCUUGUUGGGUGAUUGCCAAAUUGGAAAAACCAGCUUUUUGGUGAAAUAUGUUGGGAAUGAAAAAGAGCAGGGAGUGGAACAGAGGAAAGGACCAAAUCAAAUGGACAAAACAUUGGUUGUGAGUGGAGCACGUAUAUCCUAUUGUAUCUGGGAAGUACAAGGGGAUGGAAAAUCAGAAGACCAGCUUCCAAUGGCAUGUAAGGACUCAGUGGCAAUUUUGAUCAUGUUUGAUCUUACAAGUCGAUGCACAUUAAACAGUGUUCUGGGAUGGUAUAAAGAAGCAAGGAAAUGGAAUCAGACGGCAAUUCCGGUGUUGAUAGGAACCAAGUUUGAUGAUUUCAUUCAGCUCCCUAUUGAUAUGCAAUGGACCAUCGCUAGUGAGGCAAGAACAUAUGCAAAGGCAUUGAAUGCCACUUUGUUCUUUUCAAGUGCAACAUACAACAUCAAUGUCAACAAGAUCUUCAAGUUUAUCACUGCAAAACUCUUUGACUUACCUUGGACAGUGGAAAGGAAUCUAAAUGUUGGAGAACCCAUCAUUGAUUUCUGAAAAUCUAUGUGUACAUUUACGUAGAAGAAAAUGUUGAAGUAAUUUGCUCAAUCUCCAAAAAAUUAUGGAGUUGUGGCAAUCCAAAGUGUCUGCUGAAAUAAACAAAUCAAAUUACAUGGUUCUUUUGUUUUUUAUUGAUGAAGUAUUGGACAUCUUUAGAUUUGGUAGAGUUUCACAUCAUCAAUUAAUACUAAGGAACCAAAACUAACAUUAGUUAUGUGGUUUUCAAAUAUUAGAUUAUGGUCAAUUGAUUUUAAUCAA
This is an RNA transcript of Medicago truncatula (barrel medic), 1407 nucleotides long. It is a transcript of the gene named septum-promoting GTP-binding protein 1, with no coding region annotated. The record is from RefSeq and is a predicted model, not a curated record. NCBI's taxonomy places the organism in Eukaryota, Viridiplantae, Streptophyta, Magnoliopsida, Fabales, Fabaceae. The transcript has 7 exons.